CCAAUAGCGUAUAUUAAAGUUGUUGCAGUUAAAAAGCUCGUAGUUGAAUUUCGGGAUUAGUACGUCGGUCGUGCCUUAGGUACGUACUGGUGUUACUGGUUCCUACCUUCUGACGAACCAUCAUGUCAUUAAUUUGGUGUGGUGGGGAAUCAGGACUGUUACUUUGAAAAAAUUAGAGUGUUUAAAGCAGGCUCGCGCUUGAAUACAUUAGCAUGGAAUAAUGAAAUAGGACGUUGAUCCUAUUUUGUUGGUUUCUAGGAUUGACGUAAUGAUUAAUAGGGAUAGUUGGGGGCAUUAGUAUUCAAUUGUCAGAGGUGAAAUUCUUGGAUUUAUUGAAGACUAACUACUGCGAAAGCAUUUGCCAAGGAUGUUUUCAUUAAUCAAGAACGAAAGUUAGGGGAUCGAAGACGAUCAGAUACCGUCGUAGUCUUAACCAUAAACUAUGCCGACUAGGGAUCGGAUGAUGCUAUUUUUAAUGACUCAUUCGGCGCCUUACG
RNAcentral lists this ribosomal RNA (497 nucleotides) under uncultured Glomeromycotina. Its description in RNAcentral is "partial small subunit ribosomal RNA". It matches the Rfam family "Eukaryotic small subunit ribosomal RNA", at positions 591 to 1092 of the family's 1831-position model. The record is from RNAcentral. Lineage: Eukaryota; Fungi; Glomeromycota.